AUACGUUGGGUAUGGGCUCCAUGUGUUUAUGGGCCAUCAGUGUAUAGGUCCAUGUUAUGUUAUGGUCAUGUUUACUGUAGGGGUCACUAUAGGAUCGAUCUGGAGGAGUGGGAGCACGUGACCUGCAUGAAAACCGUGUCCUUGAAGAGCGAAGAGACCGUGAAGAGCAACGCCUGAAAGGGAAUACGUGGCUGUCGGGACCUGCUUAAUGCAGGGGGAGGAGGUCACGUGUAGGGGCAGGAUCUUCCUGUGGAGCCUGAAGGACAACGAGCUGACGGGGAUGGCCUUCAUCGACACCCAGCUCUACAUCCACCAGAUGAUCAGGUGGGGCUGCCCCAUAAGUGCCCCAUAGCCCCACAUCUGCCCCAUAGCCCCACAUCUGCCCCAUAGCCCCAUAUAUGCCCCAUAACCCCAUAUAUGCCCCAUAACCACAUUGCUGCCCCAUAACCCCAUAUGUGCCCCAUAACCUCAUAGACCCCUUAGUGCCCCAUAACCCCAUUUGUGCCCCAUAACCUCCUUGUUCCCUAUAGCCCCACAUGUGCCCCAUAACCCCACAUGUGCCCCAUAAGUUGUGCCCCAUAACCCCAUAACCCCAUAACUGUGCCCCAUAACCCCAUAACCCCAUAACCCCAUAACCCCAUAACCCAUAACCCCAUAACCCUAUAACCUUAUAACCCCAUAAAGAGAGAUCUUCUAGUCUCUUUGUUCUCACUGGGUUUCAUUGUUCUCUAUAGUCUCAAUUG
Molecule: long non-coding RNA, 743 nt
Filed under: Coturnix japonica (Japanese quail)
Lineage: Eukaryota; Metazoa; Chordata; Aves; Galliformes; Phasianidae
Description: lncRNA (ENSCJPG00005001144.1)
Source: RNAcentral